GUAAGGCCCGGGCUGCGCCGCGGCUCCGAGUUCCCAAAGUUUGCUUCGCCCCAUCCAGUUACCGCGCGCGGCGGGCGCAGCGCGGACGGAGGACGCGUGAGGUCAGUGUACCGGGUCGCGGCGGGGCCUGAGAGCGGCAGCGCGGGCUCGGGCUCGCCUGCACGGAGUCGCCACGCUCGGAGUGGGCGAGGGCCCGCUGCCCGGCCGCGCGGCCCCGCCGGCGGCCCGGAUCUGCGGAUACACCCUGCGCGGCCCCUGACCAGCCGCCUCCCCCGAGGCCCUGAAAGCGCCCCGGCCCCGCGUGACCGGCAUCCGCGUGAGCCCCACGGUGACGCGCUAAGGUGUGGGUCAGCCCGGCGCUAGCUGAUGGAGCCCCACGCCGGGCGGCGAGUAGGGCCCGGUGCCACCGUCAGGGCAGCUCUGCAAGGUGUGAAGAGGCGCCCGGUGGACCGGUGGCCUGAGACUCGGAACCAAGCAGAAGCCCAAUUGCGGAUCGAUUGCCACUGGUGUUGUUACCCUAGAGGCUGUGGGAAUACAGGACACGGACCUUUUCGGUGAAAAUGCAUCCAAUGAUAAAGUCCCUCCCCUAAGAGCCAACAAAUGAAGGUCCGAAGUACCACGAAAAGCAGGGUUAUCUGCGCUUGUGUGGUGGAAUGAAUAAGCAGACAGAACUACAGAUUUUUAGCUCCUUCAUUCCCAGUUCAUUAGGAUUAAAUCGGUGUGCUUAGAAUUUUGGAAUCAGAGGUGUUUGAUAGUACGGUUUUCCAAGAUCUUUUACAGAAUUGGCUAGCUUUUUAUGUCACCCAAAAGGAAUUGCCCACUGGAAUUAAAAUAGCAUAACAGUGUUGCUUUUGGCAUUUGACACGGUUAAAUAUGCAAACCAAAAGAGAAACAAAUAAAUCUCAACUAAAUAUUCAGCUUGAAAGCUGAAGCAAAAACGUCAGGAAAUGUAAGGAAAGACUGAUAAAAUAACCAGAAUGCCUUAGUAGAAACAGCGUAUUAGCUUAUCUACAUUUAUAAAUGUAUAUUAAUUACAGUCAAUGUGAAUCAAAUAAACGAAGGAGUACUGUUACAUUUUGUAUUUUCUCAUCAUUUUUAAUGAGAAUAUGAACAAUAUUAAGGUCCAAUUUUCCUUUUUUUGUUUUUUAGUUUAACUCAUUAUGGUUGUAAAAUAAAAAGACAGCAAAACCUAUAAGCAAUUAUCUCUGUCCAAUUGGAUAUUGCUACUCCAAACCACAGCUACAUGACUAUCAACCAAUGAUUGUGAAAACCACAGUGGAGAGGGGCAUCGGGGAACGAUAUUGCAAAACCACAGCAAGGACUGAGUCUGUGAUACUGAAAGCCACAAUUCACAACUAAUGCCCUGUGUGUUGCAAAUUACCGUUUAACUAUAAAUGCGGAAAUGUAAAAGUAACAGCACAAAAUCAUUUCUCAUUUACUUAAAAAUGAAUUAUUCAUUUUCUGGACUUGCUGGUUUAAUGUCUACCUAUGGUUUACAUGGAAAAGUUUCUGCUUUCAAAAAGCAAAUCCUUUGAAAUACCAAAGAAAAUAUCGGUCAAUUUAAAAACAGAAGACAUGCAACUUUUAAUCAUAUUUUGUGAAAUGUUAAAAAAUUGAUCUGAAAGAAAUAUAUACCUCUGAAUAGCUUUCUUCAUAAAGUUCUUUGGAAAUGAAAAGGUUUGUUAGUGGAAACUGUUUGGGGGCAAAGCUCAAAGUAUUCUAUUACAACUUUGAUGAAAAUAUCAUUACCCAUGUUCAUAAAUAGUCAUUUUUAGCUAGAAAACAUGUCUGACAAUGAAACAAGAUGCCAAUACCAAAACUUCUUUAAUAUGGGAAAUCAAGUGUUGGCUUACAAAUGAGUAAAAUGACAGCACUUGCUAUCUUCUAAGAUUGCUACAUUUUUCAAAUGAAUUUACAAAGUGCCCAGUUAAACGUGAAUUUCAAAAAAGGAAAACUAGUUCUUUAGGAUAAGUAUGUCCUAUAUACUCUUUGGGUGUAUACUUCUCCUAGAUAAUAAUUGGGGCUUAUCUGAAAUUCAGAUGUAACUGGGCAUCUUGUAUUUUAUCUGGCAAAUCUGUAAGUUCAGCAUUUUACCAUUUUCACAUACUUGUGGUUGUUAUAAUAUUGUUUAUAGAAAGGCAGAGAAACCCUAACAUGUUUCUUGCAGGCAUAAAUAUAUUUAAUUCUUGAAUGGUGUAUUAUUCAGAGAAGGCAAGGUAGAAGGAAUAAAUUUCUCUAAAAAAUUCUUACUUUAUUUGGCGCAGUAUAGAAAUGCACUCCCAGUGUAAAUGGGUUGCAUUCAUGUAUGUCUUACUCUUAGAUUUGUUUUUAAAAUGUGUUUUUUCCUCCAAGGGAUCAACAAAUUGAUAAAGCAACCUCUAAGGCCACAGCUUAUUAGACAGCAAGCUGCCUUCUUUAUUAUGGGAGUAAAUAAUAUCACAAAGCUUCAGAAAGACUUAAUUUUUGCCCUUGUAUCCACACCAGAAAUUGAACACAGUUUAUCUGCCUUGAUUUAAGAUUAUGAUGCUGAAUUGAACAAGAAUACUGUAUGAAAAUAGUGUUUAGUAUUUAUGGAUCUUUAUAAUUAAAACAUUUUAAAAAUAACAAUCAACAAAUUCAUCUAAAUCCCAUUCCUGUUUCAUAACUAUGAAAAACACUAUCUUCUCACUUGCAAAGGGGCCCAAGGCUUUGGAAAGAUUCAGUCCAUCCAGAUUGGGGCUUUCACUCAAGCUCCCUAUGGACUGUGAAGCCCUGGAAAGAAGUCUGUAUGUACAAAUAAUUUUCUACGGAGUGGCUCUAUGAAGUUCAUCAGCUUUCCAAAUUACAUGAAGAAGAUGCUGUGAACCAGUGUGGGUUAGGAAACACUGCUGUCUUUCCUGGUGAGUGUUCAUGAUAUGUUGAAAGCUCAAUUGUGGAUGGUUCCAGCUUUUCCUCUGCACCCAUCCUUUCCAAACUAGCGCUAUUCUGACUCAGGAAAGUCGGGGUGGAGCCUGUGAAAACAGUUGUUCGUUCCUACAUCUGUAUCUCCAAGCGUGAAACAAGUAUUCACAGGACUCCCCACUUUUAGAGCCGCCUGUGGAUCUUGCCUGCCGCCACGUGCCCUAUUUGGGUAGGAAAGGCGCGGGGUCUCCUAAGGAAGGCCUCCUCCCCCUGUUUCUUCGUGUGUGCAAGGGCCCUUCCCAACCUCUGCAGAGCCAGAGCGCUCCAUGGUCUGUCCAGGACGCCAGGCUCCGGGCUCCACACGGUUCCUGUCAGAGCCUCAGACUUUUCCCUAAAGUUGCUGAGGAAGAGAAGCUGCCUCUUCCCUGUUGCUGCUGGGGAGAAUGCAGAUGAGAAACUGGAAGAACCCACUGCGCCCAGGAGACUGGUGUCUUACCUCGUCUUAGAGUACUUAGAGCAAGGCUCUGAAACAGUGCUGGUGAACCCAUGGCACACGUGCGCAGUAGGCUGUUUGAUAUUACUGAAAGCUCUAAAAGGUUUUCCAGCGCUGCUCUAAAACCAACGCUGCCCCUGCCCUGCUGAAAUACAGACUCCUCCAUCCACCAGCUGUGUGCCUGGGCCUCAGUUUCUUCAUCUGUAGAAGAGAAGUGAUUGUGGCAUCCAUCCCCUGUAAUUGCUGCCGAGGUCAUGUGAAGCCUGACAAAGAGAAUAUUACCAGGCAUGGAUGCUGUCAUGAUAUCAGACUGCUACAAUAACUGUUUUAAAAUGCUGAGGAAGAAGACAUUUUCAGGACUCUCUGGUGAGCUUUCUCUUGGAAGAAAGGAGUGGAUGCCCAGAGCAAGCAGGAUAUGGAAGAUGGAAGAUGGAAGAUGGAAGAUUCUGGAAGAUGCAGGUUAACAGCUGGAAGAAACAUUUGGAAAAGAGUCUGCAAUGGGAGAGCUGUAUAUUGUAGAAAACUUAUCACUGUGCCAUCAGAUAAAGCAAAUCUCUUUAAAAAUCAUUUUUACUAUAGCUAUUAAAAUCUAACAUCUAUUACAAUUUCUAUCAGACAGGUAUCUGCGGUUAUCAGGAUAUUGUGUUCCUCUGAGGUGGAGUAUGGCCAUCGUCACAUGGAAGUGGUCUUUAUUUCAGAGUAAAAAUAACUGGUUUUCAGUUCUCUGAGGUUCUCAAUACGUAGAGGGCAGGGAAACCAAAUUAUUCUUCAUUGAUCCCAUGUUAACUAGCACAUAAGCCCAAUAAUGGGGAGAAAUGUGGAAAAUUUUCUUUUUAUGAGAGACAUGCCUAUAGUGGAGAUCCAUUUUUAGAGUAAAAAUUAAAUUAUUAUAUGCAAGGAAACAAAAAAAGAGUGAAUGAUGUAUUAUUUAGAAUUUUAGCUUGAAGAGCAAUUUGGAUAAAAGGGACAACAGACACAAUAGGGGAGGAAAGAUAGUAGGGAACUGUUUCUUUAGGAAAAAUAACAGAGAAGAAAUUCAAAACAGGUCGUUUGGAUUCAUGCCCUUACGUUCAGUUCACAGGCACACUUAAUAAAUAAAUGCAAACUGUUAUAAUUAACAUGACAAAAGAAGAUGUUUCUAAUGAUGCUAUAAUUAUUAGAAGAAACUCCUUGUUUAACGAUUCAUUCCUCUCAUAGGAGAGAUCGGGUGUAUGUAAAUUUUCCAAAGUAAGCUAUUCAGCCCUCUCAUAUCUGUGUCUCACCCGUAUCUUACAAUAAUAAAUAUAUAGUUCAUAUUUACUGGAGACAUUAGGCCCAUGAAGCAGAGAGGGACAAGUAGCCCUUGAAAGAAAACAAAAGGACAAAGAAGUUCAUGCUAGUUAUAUGAUCACUACUAAGCAUAUCAUUGUCGCAGGUCAUAUGUUCUACAAGUUGCCACGGAAGUGUUCAGUCUUCUUUCUACUCUUUCAGAACCUUACCAUCCUCUCACCAGAGAACUGGAGUUUAUCUCCCUUCCCCUUGUAACUGAAGGCUGUGUGUAGGGUUGCAACGCAUAGAAUGCAGCAGAAGAGAUUGAGUGACCUCGGAGACUCAGUUAUAAAAGAUCACAUGGCUGUCACCCAGCUCUUUCUCCUGGAUGGUCACCAUUGCUCCCAGCCUCCAUGUUGUGAGGAAGCCCAGCUCACAGUGAGGUUGCAUGUCAACAGUCCCGGCUAUGGUGUUACACAGAGAUAAAGAACUAGAAAAGCUAAUUUGGCCAAGCAGGAGAGAAAUGACAUCUCCCAAUAUGGACUACAACUGUAGAACAGUUGAGAAUAGCAGUGUGUAGAGCACAAGGAGUUUAUUUUAGGUAAGCUGUUGUUUCAGCACAAUACUUACAUCACAGUGGGGACAUAGCACAACUUCAUUUAAUUACAUGGAAACCACAUACUGAUGAAACCAGGUAUCUCGACUUUCUGUGUUUCACUCCAACAAGAAGAUUAAAGAGUCAGUACAAGUAAAGGGGACCUCUGUUACCUAAUCUCUCACAAAUUCUUUCUCCUGUGCUUUCGGUGAUAGCACGCUAUCAUUAUUUCUCUGCAGUUAACGAACUACUAUAUCAUGUGCUUGAUUGAGCUGCCGCUGAGGUUCUUUAGCUGCUUGUUGCAUGGGAAAGGUAAGGAUUGUGUCUGGCUGAGAACAGGAUGCGUCUUCCCCAGAGUGGCAGAGUUAGCACAAGAAUGGAGAAGUCAAGCAAGGGGAGCCAAGCAGCAUCUUCCCAGAGAUGGAUAAAGAGGGGUGCACCUCUUGCUCUACUUAUUCUUUAGCUGUAAGGACACCAGCAGCCAGUUCCUCCUGGAAAAAGUCUGGACUCAUAGAGCCAGGCCAUGGAAUGAGAGGCUCCAUCCAGAGCGAUGGCCCACAAGACCCCAUGGCCAGUCGUGCCCCAUGCUACUUGUGUCCCCUGUUUUCUAGCUAGGGAUCCAAAAACUGCCUUUUUUGGCUACUUGUCAGCAAUAAGCCCUAAAUGGUAUUUAUGGAAACCGUUCAGCCAAUAUGAAUCAUUUUGAGACAUGCACAUAACAGGAACACAAACGCAUGGUUAUCACAAUGUUCUCUUGAGAGGCAAAACGCUCAGGAAAAUACAGCGGGAAAUUAGGCAACUCAGAUCAAAUCACAGCAACUGUUCCAGAACAGCACCUAAAAAGGGAGAUAACUCAGAAACAUUAGAAAAUUCUAAAUGAAAGGAAUUCUAACAUAAAAUCACAAACACAAAGAACCUCAGUAUUACACAAAAGACCUAAAAAGAAAAAAGACAGGAAGGAAGGAAUGAAAGGAAGUGAAAGAAAAGAAAAGAAAGUCAUUUCUAUUCCUUGAUAAUAAACUUGUUGCCAUCUGUUUCACAGUAACACGAUGGUUUCAUUUCCUCCAAAUGAAGCAAAUAUUGGAUAUCAAAAAUUGAGUUGCAAAAAUAAUUGUUUUAAAGGAAAUAAAAGAGGUUAGGCCCUAAACAGUGAUGGAUGGCCCAAAGUAACAUUUUUUUUCCUUGCAGAUAUUUUAAUGAUAAAUGGAUUCUCUAGUCAGAAGUACAUUUUGUACUAAAAGAGGGAAUAAGAGGAAUUUACCCAGAAAGUUGUAUGAACAGCCACGGGUUGUCUUGGGCUAUUGUAAUUCAAGAGUUUGUGAGAAUUCAAAAGGUGCCAAGGCUGAUGCAAAUCAUACCAAAGUUAUAGGAAUGGCCUUUUUAUUUGCAUCCCGAGCAAGGACAGUAAAAAAGGGACCAGUCCAUUUCACGGAUCAGAACGUAGAAAACUAAGUGGUGUGAAGUGGGUGCGGUUCUAGUUCGCUGGCAUCUUCUAUCAACGAGAAUGACUUCCACCCUGGGAAAGGUGGAAUAGAUAGGGCUGUCGGAGUGGAAACCUGAGGUGGAUUGGUAGGUAGUAGAGUGCCAAGGUGCUGAGGAGAGAAGCUCUUGCCUCUGAGUCCAGAGCCUGGUGCCCUGUGUCAUCACCUCUGUGGUCCCCAGCUCAGGGGAAACCGGCAGCACUGGCCAAGGAGGGGCCGGGCAGCUCAGGGAUGCAGUGGGUGCUGCAUAUGUGGAGGGCCUGGGUUUGAGUCUAAGCAACCCCUCCCCAAGAAAGGUCAUUAAAAGUCACUCAAAUUUGUUUUAAAGUAGUAAACUUAGAUGCUAGGAAACUAGACUUUUAUGUAUUUAAAAAUUGUAGGACUUAGUAUUAAAUUAGUUUAACAAACAUUUAGUCAAAAGCCAAACCAAAAGUAAACAAUGAUUGCUAGACGCAGAAGUGCACACCUAAAUUCCCAUCACUUUAGAAGGCUGAGGCAGGAGGAUUUUAAAUUCAAUUCCUACCUGGGCCACCUCCUGAUACUACGUCUCAAAAAAUAAAAUAAAACACUAAAAUGAAAGAAGGCUAUGGAUGUGAACGCCCUGCGUUCAAUUCCCAUUACAAGAAAACAAAAACAAAAACAACAAGAAUAACAAAAGACAAAAAUAGAAAACAAACCACCGAUGAUCCUGUAGAGAUAGCAGAGGUUCAUCAACAAUACACUAUGAACCCUAGAGCACUUUGUUUUCACAAAAUAUUGUAGCAAAGGAACAACAAUAUAGAGCCGUUCUUACGGGUUUCAUUGUUACAGUGUACGCAAAUACACCAGCCCGAUUACCCUACAGGUGGCAACACACAAAGUCGUUCAUGUAAACAGGCCUGAAACUACGAAAAGCCGUGCAGAUGGAUGAGGUAGUAGAAUAUAAUGAAGACAAAAUAGACUCUGGAGCUAAAUGGCCUGGUUUUGCUAGCUCCCGUCUGACUUGGGGGCCAACCACCUAACUUCCCGCACCUUUAGAUGGAGAGUAGUAGCGCUGUUGGUGACUAAAUGUAAAGAACUUGGAUCAGGUCUGGCACAAAGUCAGAACAGCUAGCACUAAAGGGAUGCUAACUUUUUGUCACUGUCAUUAUUUCUCAAAUUAGAACAAAGUGGGAAAACAAACUAGGGAACCAUGAAUAUGCAUAUUUGUUCAGACCGACAAAACAGAAACAAGUAAGUAUACCAAUUAUUAAGCUGAUAUCAGGAUCAUUUACUCUUUUUCUUCUUUUUCAAUUGUUAUUUUUAUUAGCACAUAUUUGCAGUACACAUUGAUCAACGCCUUGCGGGGAGCUGGCCCAGGUACCUAACACAUCCGCAUUCAUUUUUCAUCCUCUUCUCUCCCCUUCCUCCAUGUCUUGGUCUCCUUCCCAUUUGCAAAAGAUCUAUCUCCCUAUUUUCCAUUAUCUGUCUUUUAUUUGCCUCUUUAUUUAUACCUAAGGCUUCUCAUAUAAGAGAAACCCUUAAUAUUUAAGCUUGUGUGUCUGAUUUUACUUGACAUGACGGUCCCCACGCGCAUGCAUUUUCUACAAGUGACUCAUGUUUCUCAAAUGAAUGUUACCUGAAAACCUAAUGUGUGCCAUCCCCAGAGAAAGCAUGAGAGACACAGGGAUGGAGACAGCAAGUCUUUGAAGGCUCUAGCACUGGGACAAGCAGGAACUGCUCCUUUCCAGGUUUGGAGCACUGGCCUCUGCACUACAUACAGCAUGCUUUGAGAGGCUUGGAUGGAACACAGGCUUUGAUAUAGCAUGGUUUCUCUUAUAUGAGAAACUCAAAAUAUAAAUAUAUGAAAGAGAAGAAUAAAAGGUGGAUGAUAGAAACAGGGAGAUAGAUCUUUUGCAAAUGGGAGGAAGACCAAGAGAUGGUGCAGGGGGAGAAAGUGGAAGGGGAAGCAAUGAAGAUGUGUGUGUACAUCACUGACUCCUCACAAGGGAUGUAACCAUUAUGUACCGCAAACAUGAGCAGUAAAGAGAAUAAAAAACUCAUUGCAAGAGUGGAAUCGAAAUGUGCAUGGUAGUAAAUCAGAAAAGAAAAAUAUUUGGACAAAAGGAGCCAAAGGUCUAACCAAAAGAAGAUAAACUUUUAGUGAGGAUAAAGCCAAAUAGUGUUUUUAUUUGCAAGUGUAAUUUUAUUUUAAAAUAAUGUAUAUUGAUAUAGAUGGAUUAGAAAUUGAAAAUUUCACCUUUAAUCCUAACAUAUCUAUAGUCUUUAUACCAUUUGUAUAAAUAUGAAUACCUUCAUAAUUAUAUGCGUAUUUUAUGUACAAAAGGAUAUGAAAAGUGAAUCUAUUUAACUUAACACUGAAUUAUGAUGCUAUUCUAUUCUGUAGCACACUUAGUUCCUGUGAAAAUGUGUAUGUAUCACAUCAUGAGAUAUCUCUGGAUAUGAAGUGCAGUGGUACGUAACACAAAUUCUUUACAAUCCCAGAGCAGCUUCUGAUUGUUUGGGGCUGACUUCCUUUUCCCUUUCUUCCUGGGCACACAGCAAGACUACAUUUUUUGCUUCCCUUGCAGCUAGGAACAAUUUGGUGACUAAGUUACAGCCAAGAGGAAAUGAACAAAAGAGAUGGGAGAGUCCUGAUGCGAUUUUCCAUGCUCUUUACUUUUCCACCAGGGAGUAACUUUGAAAGUUGCAAGUUAAAGAUGAUACAGCUAUAAUUAGGAAAGACCAGACUUGCACCAUAGUUAGAGAAGAGGUGUCACAGGACUCAGAGAUAAACAGUUUCCCUUUUCCACCCGUCAUUUUUUGGUUUACUUGUUACUGCAACUAGCACUAGUUCAAAAAAACCCAGAUACUGAAAACUUUAAAUUGUGCCCACUUGAUAGCUGCUGUCUAGUAUCUCUUCAGUUGGAAUGUCUUUGAGGGUCAGCUUUGACAUGAUAAAAGACAGAAGAGAUUUGGCUGACUGAUAGUGGGACAUGAACCUAUCGCUGGAUUGACUUGGAGUGGGCUGGGAGAUGAUGCUCAGGACGGGGCAGCAAGUCAUCCUGCAGUCAGACCAGCUGGGACUGCACAUCCAGAUCACAGGCCUCAGGAAGGACAGCUGGCCACUGCAGCUCAGUGGAGAGGACGGGACCUUGUCCUGGGCUACGGACACCAUGGGGACUGAGGGCUGCACAGCAAGAACGGUACACGCCUCUCUUGAGAGGGUUACACUAGUCACGAACUCAACACGAAGCACAGCUAGGCUACCUUCAUAGCAGGCAGUAUAACUCCAAACUGAAGAGAAGAGAAACCACGCCUUAUGGAACGGAUUGUAUCACCUUGUAAAUAUUUUCAGUUGGCGUCUUUCGCCACAUGAAACAAACAGGAAGUUCCAUGCAAACACUCAUGAGCACACCCCGUCAUACCUGCUAUAGCGUCUAUUGGAAGAAACUGACUUCUCAAGGAUAAAGCUAAUAAUGAAAGGUAACAUUCAUGAAGUGCUUAGAUUGUACUACAUCCCAUUCUAAUUGCUUUUUUGUUUUAGAGUCAAUAUUUAUUCUAUUCUCUUUAAAACUUUUAUUUCUUAUCAGUAUAUGUUUGCAGCCCAUAAAGAUUACACUCAUCAUGGAGAGUUGGUGCGUGCAUGUAACACAUCUCAGUUCUUUUUCUGUUCUGUCUCACCCCCACCAUCACUAUUUACAAAAGACCUAUCUCCUUGUUUCCUGUUUUUGGUCUUCUAUUUUUCUCUUCAAAUUAUUUGUACUUUUGAUUUCUAAUAAAAGAGAAACCAUCUGAUAUUUAAGCUGUAUUUAUUUCAUCUAACAUUAUGGUCUCAAAGUGCAUACAUUUUCCUACAAAUGACUCAAGUGUAUUCUUCUUUAUGAUAGAGUAAAACUGCAUUGUGUGUGAAUACCACAUUUUCUUUAUCCAUUCAUCUGCUGAUGGACAUAUGGGCUACUCCCAAGACUUACC
Molecule: long non-coding RNA, 10630 nt
Filed under: Heterocephalus glaber (naked mole-rat)
Lineage: Eukaryota; Metazoa; Chordata; Mammalia; Rodentia; Bathyergidae
Description: lncRNA (ENSHGLG00000037679.1)
Source: RNAcentral